RNAcentral lists this long non-coding RNA (4865 nucleotides) under Mytilus galloprovincialis (Mediterranean mussel). The record is from RNAcentral. Lineage: Eukaryota; Metazoa; Mollusca; Bivalvia; Mytilida; Mytilidae.
CUGGUCACGUGUGCAAAUAACUGCAUUGGAUCAGUUGAUAGACAUUUUCUGGAUCUCAGGUAAAGCAAUGUUUUGAACACUUACAAUGACAUGCAAGUAGUUGAUUUGUUUUUAGCAUAUUUUAUCAAUUAUUAUCAGUUUUAAUUUUCAUAUUUAAUCGAAUCAAUAAAAAAUCAUUGACUUUAAAGUUUACUUUCGUUUUCGCCUUGCAUAUAAGGUUAAAAUAUCCAAACAUUAGGUAUGUAGAUAAAUAGAACAAAUGAAUAACAAAAACAAAACCACACACAUGUGGCAUUGACCAAAUAAUUCUCGUUCUCCCUGAUCUUAUUCAAAAUGAAAAUUCGAAAUUGUUAACAUGGUUAGCAUCACCAAUAAUAUUUUGAGUACAGACAAGUAUGCUGACAAUUAUAUAUACUUUGUAUAACACUAAUUGAACACUUUGUAUCUCCUAUCGCUUUUUACCAAAAUACGAAUUUCUUUCCUUACAUAAAGAAUAUACAAGGUUAAUUUUUUAAUAGAAGCUAAAAAAAAAGUUACAGAUGAAGUGUUGUAACUGACCACCUAGCUACAGUUCUUCAGAGAGUUUACAAUAGGGUUCAAUAACAUAUGCCGAGAGCUUGACAGUUUCCUUAUACAUAUUAUACGCGUCAUCGGAUAUUGUGCCUUAGAAAGCCGGUGUAUUUAUAAACACUCUAGUAAUCACUUCAUAACCAAGUGGACUUUCAUCAUACAUGUCAUAAGCAAGGAUUUAUUACUUGAACGGGAGGUGUCAUGAAUUCGAUAGCUUUUUAUAUGAAAGCCAUACUUUUUUUUUAUAUUGAUUAGACCGUGGGUUUUUCCGUUUGAAUGGUUUUAUACUAGUAAUGUUUGGGCCCUUUAUAGCUUGUUAUUCGGUGUGAGCCAAGGCUCCGUGUUAAAUGCCGUAUAUUGACUUAUAAUGGUUUACUUUUUUAAAUUGAUAUUUAGAUGGAGAGUUGUCUCGUUUGGCACUCACACCACAUCUGCCUAUUAUCUAUUUAAAAACAAACACAUGCGAUGAGCAUAUUUCAAUAUUUAGCCGAAGGCUGUGAAAUAUGAAAGCAAUGCUUUGAACACUAACACAUGCUUGAUGAUUAGUUGGUUUGUUUUUUAGCAUAUGCAAUUAAUUAUAAUGCGUUUUAAAUUUUCAUUUUUAAUGCUAGUCAAUAAAAACAAUAACUUUUUAUUCUUCUUUCGUUUUUGCUUCGCAUAUAAUGUUAAAAUAUUCAAACAUUGGAUGUGUGAAUAAAAAACACAGAUUAAAGAUAAAAAAAAACACGAAGUUUCACUUACUUUUUAACAUGUUGAAGGACCUUAAGAGCUGCAUAUAUAAACAUUCACAAUUACAAAUUUACAACUGUUGAUUUAGAACACUGAUUAUGCAGUAUGUGUCUCCUAUUGAUGUUUACCUAAUUCGAAAUACUUUCAUCCUUCAAAAUGUAUGCGCUCAGUGAAUACAGAUAAAAAACCAAAACAAGUAAUGAAUACAUUACAUACUUGAGAUCAAUUGAGUAUUGUGUUGCUUGGUUGAUAUUUCAUGCUUUACCAUGUUCACAUGGAAGGGCAAAUAAAUACAAUAGAUAUGUACAUUCGCUAUCAAUGACAGGGCAUUUGAAAGUUUAGUAGAGAGAUUGAAGUGAUAGAUUUGGUCUUGUAACAGGCCACCUAAAGUCCCUUCCGAGAGUUUUUGAAAUCGUUUAAUAUAUACUAGUAUAAUGUGCCGUGAGCUUAACAUUUGCCUGAACAGAUUCAUCAGAUUUAGUGCACUCAUUCAGACUGACAGUUGUCUUUUGACCUCGGUUCAAAUUGUACUUUUGUUGAUCUAAGACCCUUCUUAGUUUAAUUCCGCGAUAGUACGAACACAGUUUUACUUGUUUAAUAAGUAACAAUAUUUGUUGCAUGACACUUGAAAUGGUACUAAAUAUCAAUGUUAUAUUUAUCUUUUCAAAUAAACUUUUAAUACUUAUUUAUCUGUAUUUUCAAAAUUACCGUGACCGUGAAGCAGAAACUUGUUUUCAAGAAAAAAAGGCGAUUUUAAAUAAUAAUAAAAAAAAAAACACAACAAAAUAUUUUAGUCGACAGUAUUACAUGCAAAUUUGCAACCUAACAGAAAAAAUUAUCAAUUACAUGGAAAAAUAUGUUUGCACGCACAUUGUGUGCCCAGCAUAAAUAUGCUUACAUGACUUGCGACAGCAAGAUUUCAUAGAGCAUUUAUUUCCAUUUACCUAAUUAAGGUAACAACCGGUGAAUGAAAAACAUAUCUAAGGAUUUGUAUUUCAUUAGACAGAUUUUUGCUUAAAGCAAUUUUAUUCUUUUAAAAUUUCUUUUUUGUAGCAUGUCGAGUAAAUAUACUGUAUGUGGAGUAUGCGAUUAUCAGAACAUUAACAAACAAUCAGUUGUCUGGUGUUCAGAAUGUGACGAAGGUCUUUGUGAAGGAUGUAAAGUGCACCAUGCAGCUUCAAAGGGUACCAGAGACCAUAGUAUUGUACUACGAUCCGACUACCAAAAUCUACCUUCUAAUAUAUUGGAAAUCACUCAAACUUGUCUAAAGCACGAAGAAAAAUACGUUAUAUUUUGUAGGAAGCACGAUAUGUCCAUGUUGUAGAAGAUGUGUUGUUGAAACACAUAACGAUUGCAAAGAUUUAAACGCUAUAGAGGAUGUCAUUAUGAAUGUAAAAUCAUCAAAUGCAUUUUUAGAGAUGGAAAAAGUGUUGAAAGAACUUUCAGAAAAUUUGCAGAAUAUCAGAAAAGAUAGACAAGAAAACAUUAAAAGUCUAAGGGAGAACAGAACAAAAAUAGAAAAAGAAGUACAGCAGACACGAAGCCUGAUUAACAAUCAUCUUGAUAGGCUACAGGAAAACUUGACGAAAGAGUUGUAUGACGUUGAGGAAAAGGAAAACAAAAGCAUCACAAACAUAAUAUCAUCAAUAGAAGAGAAAGAAAGAGAAGUCACCGAAAGCCAAACUAUUUUAGAUAAAGUUAAACAACAUGCAUCAGACCUCCAGACAUUUCUGGCUAUAAAACAUAUCCAACGAGAUGUCAAAAUCAACGAACAAUUUCUGGAAUCGCUGAUAAAAGAAGAGAAAACCAACAAUACAUCUAUUUCUUGGAAAAACGAAAACGCUAUGGAGAUUUUAUCUAACCAAAUCAAGAAGAUUGGAACCAUCAUAUUAGAUACCAGGCCAGGUGAUACGAUACUGACAAGCAGGAAAAACCAACAAGCACAGAUAGCGCUACCUACCACACCUGUUCCUUCCAUUGAUGAUGUAAAACUUGCUUUACGAAGGACCGUGAAAACACUUGGAGAUGAUAUCAUUAGUUGCUGCUUUUUUCCUGACGGCAGAAUGGGUUUUUCCUGUUACUCUGCUUAUAAAAUUGACGUCUUGAAAACCGACGGAUCAUUAGAUUUUACAUUGAAGCCGGGAUCGAGAACAUCUCAUAUAGAUUUUAUCGAGAAGAGUCAAAAACUUGUCGUAACAUCUGGCUUUAACUACAAACACAUUAAGAUUAUCAAUGUUAUAAAUAGAAAAACCGAGAAAUCCGUUGAUGUUGGAACACAGAUUUAUGGAAUAGUUCACAAAGAUGAGAAAUUAUUUUACAAUGGGGAAAGUCAUGGAUUACAUGUUGUAAAUUUAGAUGAUGGCUCUGAUACCCAGUUAGUAAACGUUUCUUUGAAUCGCUAUAGCAGCGUAGCAAUAUGGUCAGAUAAACUUUAUGUCAUAGGCAAUGAUGAUUCAGUAACAUGCUGUGACCUCCAAGGGGCUGUUAAAUGGAAAGUAGAACUAUACACUAAUCUUAAAGGCGCACGAGGUAUAACAGUGGACAAUUACGGACGUGUUUACGUAUCGGGCUAUGAAUCCAACAAUGUCGUCGUGAUUUCAACAGAUGGAAGCAAACAUAGAGUGUUGCUGUCAGGGAAAGAUGGUCUUAAAAAACCACAGUCUUUGUGCUUCAAUCGAAAAAACAACAACCUUCUAAUUGCAAAUCAAGAGAAUGAUGCCUUUAUUUAUGACAUUUUAAAAUGAAUUGAUACAAUAUAACUUAAAUUAGCUUCAUAGAAGUGAUAAUAUAAUGAUUGUAGUGAAAAACGCUGGUUUUGGCUCUUUGUUAUCCUAUAAAUGAACAUCGACAAUUAUCUGUUGAAUGGAAGAUAUUAUACAUUUUUAUUAAGUACUAUAAGGAUUUAUUAUGUGAUCACGUCAGCUGUAGUCGAUCCAAUAAAAUUGAGAAUGGAAACUCUUUUUUUAUUCAUUAAAGCAGUAUAGCUUUUUUUUCCCAUGCAACAACAAAAAAAUAUGAAGCCAUUAGGGUUAUGUUUAAAAAAUGUUUUAAUUUAUUCUAUGUAUGAUUAAUGAUUUUAAGUUGAUUAUAUCCGUCUGGCACGGCUGAAUAUUUGUGCAUUUUUGUUUAGACAUUAAUUCAUAAAUUUCUCAUACUAAAGUUCAUGCCAAAUUCAUUUGUUCUUCUCUUUGUUUUUGAUUGCUCUAUUCUAUUGCAUCUCCCUUUCUUUUUUUUUUCUUUUUUUUCUGUAUUUUUUUCCAUUUGCAGCAACAUCCCAAAUGGACGUUUCAUUGUAUUAAGAUUGUAUUCCUGCAUUGAAAGGCUUCUUUAUAUUUAUACCAAACUAUAAAAUGAUCCUUCAAAGAAAUAGACUUCGGCUUUGAGUAAGAUUGCACAUGUCGUGAACUAUUGUUAUAAAAUGAGGAGCUGUGGACUUUGACUGUUCAAUAUUUAAAUUAAAGAAAUAGAGUGUUGACAAAUUUUUAUCCCCGUUCGGCUUUUCCACCUUAGUUCAAUUGCAUUGUGUCAGGACCUUAGUUAGAAUAACAGUUUAAUAUAUUUCAAAC